GGAGAUACGUAACUCAACCUACCUAGUGAUUAAUCCAAAAUGAAAGCAUUAUUUCUCCUAGUAUGCAUUCUCUUUGCUUCCUCUCUCUUUGUUCCCACUUCCACCAUGGCCCGGGAUAUUCAGGGAUAUCCCACUUAUGUCAAACCACCAAAACCAAAUACACAGCUGCAUGCUCGAAAUCAUGAUCCUGGUGAGUGUACGAUCUAUAGUCGCUGCCGUUCUGUACCUCCCGUUGCACCUGUACCUUGAAUGUGGUGUGGGAAAGCCAUGGAGGUCUAUUGGCAAAUUUAUAAUGGGAAUAUAUCUAUAAAGCUAAUAAUAAGUUGCCAACCAGUUCAUGAAUUUGCAGUUGCCAUGAUUUGUGUUUUGAAGACUACUACUAGCAUACUUUGUUUAGGAUAUAUCAAACAGAGGAUUAAUUUUUAAUUUUUAUUACUAUUAUUAUAUAUAUAAUUUGAGAUAUAAAAUUUUAUUAUUUUGUUAUAAUUACCUUUUAAUUAUUUUUCAUCCAAAAUCUUAAUCUUGCCACUAAUAUAAUAUAUAUGUAGUAUUGUUUGUGCAAUAAAUAGUUCCUAAAAGCUCAUGAGUUCCUGUUAUAUAAUUCAACAACUGGUUGAAUUCAGCACUUUCUAUAUAUGUAAUGUAUUCAAUAAAAAGCGAGGGAUAGUUUAAACUUGUAUAAUCAA
This is a non-coding RNA of Theobroma umbraticum, 686 nucleotides long. The record is from RefSeq and is a predicted model, not a curated record. Lineage: Eukaryota; Viridiplantae; Streptophyta; Magnoliopsida; Malvales; Malvaceae.